Molecule: long non-coding RNA, 320 nt
Organism: Pelobates fuscus (common spadefoot toad)
Lineage: Eukaryota; Metazoa; Chordata; Amphibia; Anura; Pelobatidae
Exons: 2
Source: RefSeq, a predicted model, not a curated record
GACUAAUGAAAGUAUUUAGAAAAUUGGGCAGACUAGAUGGGCCAAAUGGUUCUUAUCUGCCGUCACAUUCUAUGAUGUAGUGUGUGUAUAUCUCUAUAUGAAGCAAAUAAUGUCUGUUGUGCUGAAUUCUGCCUAUUCCUGCAAACAAAAAUUUUGUUGUGCAGAACCUUUUUUUGUGCAACACACACUGUUAUUAUAAUUGCAAGCAUUAUGCCGAAUACUUUUUUCUAGAGAGAAACCAAUCACUUCCCUCGUUCUUGUUCAUACUUAAAGAGUGAUGAAUUGCUUGCAAGUUUCCAUAAAGUCUUGUUCAAUCAGUA